Molecule: small nuclear RNA, 181 nt
Filed under: Oncorhynchus tshawytscha (Chinook salmon)
Lineage: Eukaryota; Metazoa; Chordata; Actinopteri; Salmoniformes; Salmonidae
Description: U2 spliceosomal RNA
Rfam family: U2 spliceosomal RNA
About the family: U2 is a small nuclear RNA (snRNA) component of the spliceosome (involved in pre-mRNA splicing). Complementary binding between U2 snRNA (in an area lying towards the 5' end but 3' to hairpin I) and the branchpoint sequence (BPS) of the intron results the bulging out of an unpaired adenosine, on the BPS, which initiates a nucleophilic attack at the intronic 5' splice site, thus starting the first of two transesterification reactions that mediate splicing.
Source: Rfam by way of RNAcentral
AUAUAUUUUGUAAAAAAAAAAAAAAAAAAAUCUGUUCUUAUCAGUUUAAUAUCUGAUACGUCCCCUAUCUGGGGACCAUAUAUUAAAUGAUUUUUUGGAAUAGGGAGAUGGAAUAGGGGCUUGCUCCGUCCCUCCACGCAUCGACCUGGUAUUGCAGUACCUCCGGAACGGUGCACCCCCC